AUUCAGACUUUAUUUUAGUGUGUGAACUUUUUUGUCUAAAAUUCCGUGUGUCAAACAAUGUUUUCAGCGGCCCAUGACCAGUGGAAACUACACCCUCAGCGGCGGAGUUUCGUAAAAUCCGUUGUCAGUGCUCUACUGCAAGUCAAACAGCGUUGAAGCGCCCCUAAACAGAACGUUUUCAUCAAGAUACUAUACAAAGCAUUCCGAAGGAGGGUUGACAUCAGGCGAGCGGCUGGUCAUAAAAAUAUAGCCAAAUCUAUUUGCCAGUAUAUUAGAUGUGAGUGAUAGGGCUAGGGCGUACCCCCAGGAGACGCGAAGAGGCAGCACCCGGCCCCUGUAGGAAGUGGACAAGAGUUUUUGCACCAACCCGGGCCAGGGCAAUGAGAAGCGAGCCCGGGAAGUAUGCAAGUUGGAAGUAUGACUUCUGACAGAAAUGAUUGGAAGAGAAAGACAUGUUGCGCCGACCCCAAAUGACUUGGAAACAGGACAGGAAGAUGAUGAUGAUGAUGACUAUACGACUACCAGAAGGCUCUUCUGCAAGUCAGACAGCUUCGGAGCAACCCUUAACACAACAUUUCAUACAUCAAGAUCUAGACACACGGCAGUGUGUCCGCCAAGUUCGAGCAAAAAAAGCGACACACCGGCCGUGGGUUAUAUUACACGAACCAUUUCAGGCCAAAUUCGACCCCCCUAUGCCAGGUGUACAAACUCAACUAACUCGAAGCAAUUGUUGAUGGAGCAUAAUUAUUAUAUAAUUAGCAAGACAAGAAUAAUGACUGGCAAAGGUGCAUCCAAAACUAAUCGAGCCCAUGUUCUACCACUGUGCACCAAGAUCAAGCAUCUUCGGACCGAGAUAUCGCGUCUUCUCAAAAGAGGUCGAAUAUUUAAAGAAAGACUACGGAAUGUACAUUGUGUACAAAUGGUUCUUCCAACCUGCAGACAGACAUGUGUUGCUGGGGAGUUUGUUGCGCCACUUCUUCUUCCCAGCAAAAACACAUAGGAAGUAGUGAAGGUUCAAAAAGUCUUGCAGCCAAGUUUGAAUAAAUGAUUUUUGAUUUGAUUGAAUGCUGAAACACUCUUCGAGAAGGCAUCGUUCCUGCACGUUACUCAAAAUAAGACAAAACCAGCCCAAAUGUUCCUUCACAUGCAAUUACAAACUCCAAAGAAAGAUAAAGGACGAAGGUUUAGUUUAGAAACAAAGGUAUUGGCAUUGUCUCUGUAUGAAAAAAGUCCAAAAUGUUAUGGACUUAUACCUUUUUUUUUACCUUUGUCAGAAACCAUGACACGGUUACUCAAGAUAACUGGUAUUUACAAAAUAAUUUUUGGAAAGUUAAAAAAACUGUACACACGCUGUGCGUUGUACGGUUGUGAAACUUGUACGCUAACUAAGCAGGAUAUAAGCAGACUGGAGGCUUUUGAGAUGUGCUGGAAGAGGAUGGAGAGAAUUAGCUGGACGGAAAGAGUUACUAACGAGGAAGUACUAAACAGAGUAGGAACUAAGAAACAACUAUUGCAAAAUAUAGAGAAUAGGAGAGGAAAAAUGAUGGGACACCUUAUAUGUCAUGACGAUUUUGUCAAAAACAUCGUGGAAGGGAAGGUCGAAGGAAAGAGAGGAAGGGGUCAUCCAAGGUAUAGCUAUAUCAAGCAAAUUAAAGAAAAGGUGAAGGUUGUGACGUAUAAUACGAUCAACAAAUUCGUUGAAGCCAACCCGGACUGCGAUAUAUUUGAAGAUAAAGGACAAUGCCGGAUUUUGUAUGGACCCUGUCCCCACCCACCAACAGACUUGAAACUAGUGUCAUCGGAAGCGCAUCUUUCGAUAGAUCAUGAUUAUCAAAACGAUUUACUGCAAAUGUAUGGGGUUUUGGAAAUACACGACAUUUUAGUAUCCUUAAUAAUCAAUUAACUUCAAUUUUGUUAACCAAUUACUCGGAGUUGCGUCGACCGAUUUUGAUAAUUUUUGUUUUAAUGCAAAGAACGUGUCUCAACGUUAGUCCGAUAUAAUUUUCAUCGGGAUCUUUUUGGCGGAUGAGGCGCAUCCAAUGACACUUAGUUGAACUCUGUUGGAGGUGGUUAAGGUGUCCUUACGAAGAACUACACUGCCUCUUCAAACCGAUUAUUUUAACCGAUGAUAACUCAAAAACUGCUUAAAAGAUCUUGAUGAAAAUUAAAUUAGACUAACUUUGAGAUAGAUUCUUUAAAAUAAAAAUAAAAACUUCAAAAUCGGUCCACCCAACUCCGAGUAAUUGGUUAACAAACUUGAAGUUAAUUCAUUAUUAAGGACACUAAAUUGUCUUAUAGUUCCUAAACCCCAUACUUUUGGAAUAUGUCUCCAUAAUAAGAAAUGAUCUAUUAAAUGAGGCGCAUCCAAUGACACUACUUUCAAGUCUGUUGGUGGGUGGGGACGUUUUUAGGCAUUGUCCUUUGUCCAUAUAAUGAGAGUAUGCCUAAAGUUUUGUGAAAACAAUUUCUAAUUUUAUUAUUCGUUACUAACGUGUUUUUUUUACUUUAUUUUCAUUUUAUUUUAUUUUUUAAUAUUAUUUUAUACUUUAGUUAACUGUAUUUUUUAGUUCUUUUUUUUUCUUUUAAUUUUAAAUUUAAGUUUACGAUUUAUGUAAUUGGCUGCUAAAGCCGUGUAAGUCGAAUAAAUAAAUAAAUAAAAUAAGGAAGUUCAGGAGUUAGCGCUAGAUAGUUGUAAAUGGCAGGAGCUGCACCGACAAGAGCUGGGCUCUUAAAUUAAUGAUGAUAAAAAAACCUGUUUUGCAAUUAGCCAAAAUGGAAAGACAGCCAGUGUUCAGGUGAUAAGAUCGAUGUUGUUUGGCGUUAUUUUUGUAUGGAACAACGUGUGGCUUGCUCAAUUAUCUAUUGGACACUAUUCAUUAUUAAGUUCAUGUAAAAUGUUAUUUGUAAUUAAAUUUUGAAAUUUAUUGAUGCCAUUUUAUAAUUGUUUUUAGUUGGAUAAAUAAGUUUAUUUUUACGUCACGUAAAUAUGUACAAUUUUGACAUUAGUUUCGUAUUAGCACCAAGUACACCGACAAGAUAAGCUAGUUUUCUUAAAACAACUGCUUGUUUACUAUGAAUUUUCAGUUAAAAUUUUCAAAGUAAACGUUUAUUUUCAGAAAAACGCGCACUUAUGUGGUCAGUGAACUUGGGCUUACUUUGAACGAUUUCUAAACGAAAAAUUUUGCUUACAUCUCACCAGUGCGAGAAAAAUUUAAAUAAAACUACUUAUUUGAUCACGGUAUAUGUACACAUGUCUGUAGGACGGGCGUCGAAACGACGGGAUUAAAUAAUAUUAAUAUAACAGCGAUAAAAUCCGUAAAAGUAGUUUUGUUUAAAUGUCUUAUAUUCGCGUAAGUGUUAGAAAGAAAUGUAUGUAUAUAGGUAUACUAUAGAUGCUUAAAAAUGUCGUGUGAAAUGUUGUAGAUUUUGAAAGGGACAAAUAAAGCUAACUAGAUUAAACUUA
This is a long non-coding RNA of Helicoverpa armigera (cotton bollworm), 3463 nucleotides long. RefSeq lists it as uncharacterized. The record is from RefSeq and is a predicted model, not a curated record. Lineage: Eukaryota; Metazoa; Arthropoda; Insecta; Lepidoptera; Noctuidae. The transcript is spliced from 5 exons.